RNAcentral lists this ribosomal RNA (496 nucleotides) under uncultured bacterium. RNAcentral describes it as "partial 16S ribosomal RNA". It matches the Rfam family "Bacterial small subunit ribosomal RNA", at positions 28 to 507 of the family's 1533-position model. The record is from RNAcentral.
GAUGAACGCUGGCGGCGUGCCUAAUACAUGCAAGUCGAGCGAACAGACGAGGAGCUUGCUCCUCUGACGUUAGCGGCGGACGGGUGAGUAACACGUGGAUAACCUACCUAUAAGACUGGGAUAACUUCGGGAAACCGGAGCUAAUACCGGAUAAUAUAUUGAACCGCAUGGUUCAAUAGUGAAAGACGGUUUUGCUGUCACUUAUAGAUGGAUCCGCGCCGCAUUAGCUAGUUGGUAAGGUAACGGCUUACCAAGGCAACGAUGCGUAGCCGACCUGAGAGGGUGAUCGGCCACACUGGAACUGAGACACGGUCCAGACCCCUACGGGAGGCAGCAGUAGGGAAUCUUCCGCAAUGGGCGAAAGCCUGACGGAGCAACGCCGCGUGAGUGAUGAAGGUCUUCGGUUCGUAAAACUCGGUUAUUAGGGAAGAACAAAUGGGUAGUAACUAUGCACGUCUUGACGGUACCUAAUCAGAAAGCCACGGCUAACUACGUG